RNAcentral lists this ribosomal RNA (492 nucleotides) under uncultured bacterium. RNAcentral describes it as "partial 16S ribosomal RNA". It matches the Rfam family "Bacterial small subunit ribosomal RNA", at positions 29 to 507 of the family's 1533-position model. The record is from RNAcentral.
AGUGAACGCUGGCGGUAGGCCUAACACAUGCAAGUCGAACGGCAGCACAGUAAGAGCUUGCUCUUACGGGUGGCGAGUGGCGGACGGGUGAGGAAUACAUCGGAAUCUACUUUUUCGUGGGGGAUAACGUAGGGAAACUUACGCUAAUACCGCAUACGACCUACGGGUGAAAGCAGGGGAUCUUCGGACCUUGCGCGAUUGAAUGAGCCGAUGUCGGAUUAGCUAGUUGGCGGGGUAAAGGCCCACCAAGGCGACGAUCCGUAGCUGGUCUGAGAGGAUGAUCAGCCACACUGGAACUGAGACACGGUCCAGACUCCUACGGGAGGCAGCAGUGGGGAAUAUUGGACAAUGGGCGCAAGCCUGAUCCAGCCAUGCCGCGUGGGUGAAGAAGGCCUUCGGGUUGUAAAGCCCUUUUGUUGGGAAAGAAGAGCAGCAGGUUAAUACCCCGCUGUUCUGACGGUACCCAAAGAAUAAGCACCGGCUAACUUCGUG